AUACGGAGGGUGCAAGCGUUACUCGGAAUCACUGGGCGUAAAGCGCGCGCAGGCGGUCUUUUAAGUUGGAUGUGAAAGCCUACGUCUCAACCGUAGAACUGCAUCCAAAACUAUUAGACUAGAGUGUGGGAGAGGAAGAUGGAAUUAGUUGUGUAGGGGUAAAAUCCGUAGAGAUAACUAGGAAUACCAAAAGCGAAGGCAAUCUUCUGGAACACUACUGACGCUGAGGCGCGAAAGCGUGGGUAGCAAACGGGAUUAGAAACCCCGGUAGUCC
Molecule: ribosomal RNA, 274 nt
Filed under: uncultured bacterium
Lineage: Bacteria
Description: partial 16S ribosomal RNA
Rfam family: Bacterial small subunit ribosomal RNA
Source: RNAcentral